Molecule: long non-coding RNA, 3697 nt
Organism: Pomacea canaliculata
Lineage: Eukaryota; Metazoa; Mollusca; Gastropoda; Architaenioglossa; Ampullariidae
Exons: 6
Source: RefSeq, a predicted model, not a curated record
GAACUGCACUCUCACUGGUCAUCCACCUGACCUCGUCCUGAGUCUUCCGCUUGAGAAGGAAGAGGACAGUUUAUGUGGAAGCUGGACAUUGACUCUCAGCAAUGACUGGGGUUCUUCCAACCCAAUCUUUUUUGCCUUAAAUGGAUCAACUCCAGAACGACCGCCAGCUUCAGGGAAAACAAUAAACAUUGAACUCGUGUACGGCAUAGUGGUGACUGUUGUUUUGAUUGCUGUAGUUACUACUUUUGCCAUUAGAAAGUUCAAAGAGAUGAGACAUGCAGAAAGAACUCGGCGUACAGAUGGGAGCAGAUAUCCGUACGAAAAUGUAAGAGGAAACUUACCAAGUGAGUUAUUUUUGUAAACAUAAUAUUUUGAUUAACUUUUUAUUAGUUUUUUUUAUCAGCUUUAUGUUUUUUAAUCGUUUUCACUUUUAAUUAAAAAAUAUAGUAAACAGAAAGGGGUGAACCUAGUUUGAUAGUCUGAGCUAGACUAUCCGAGUCGUCUCGGCUGAAAUAUCUGUUUCCAGCCAACUCCGAUACCAUGUGAUAUGCAAAUGAUGCUCGUGUCCUAAUAUCCGUCAUCCUCAAACGCGUAUGUGUAAUUCAACAACUCUUAAAACAGUGGUUAAGUUCAUUUUUUUUAAUUUAGCUUUUUAUUAUUGUAUUAAUAAAUAAAAGGUAAUCCUUAUUGUCAUAUUUUACUAUAAUUUUCUAUUUUAGCUUGUGAUAUUGAAAAAAAUGAAGUCACUAGCUCCAAUUUGAUUUUCUGAAUUAGAUAAAAUUAGGGGGAAGAAAUGGCAGAGAAUGGGUUAUCCGACUUGCUUUUUGCGUCUGAAGUGCGACAGCAGAGGAGUUCAUGUUAAAAUAACUGCCGGUUUUUUAAAACAUUUUAAUGUAAUAAUGUAAGACUUAUGUGCUUCUGAGUUUAAGAAACAGAAGCUAAACUCUCACUGUUUCGCAAGAGCUCUAAGCGCGUUUACUAAGUUUAUAAGUCGCCGCAUGGUAUGAACACCGACAGACAUAUUGGAUGUAUGUACGCGUCAGUGGUAUGAGGAACGAAAUGCAUCAACGACAGCAUUCCUUGGUAAGUACAGUCAAUUUUCCUGACAUAUAUCUAUUUUAAGCAUGAUUGAAAUUUAGACUUAUUAACGAAGUUCUGAAUUUAAUUUUUUUAAACACUUGUUUUCAUUUAAAAAAUUUAACUUAAACGUGUUAAUAAUAAUAAGUAAUAAUUAACUAAUAAACGUGUUAAAUUUUCUUAGAGCAGAAAUACAUAGGUUUCCUGUCAGCAUGGUUUCCUUGGUUUACUGGUUGGAUUGUUGUUAGGAAAUGACCUCCAACACAAAGCAAUUUAUUGUACAAAGUGAGAGAGACGAUUACGGAGAAGGAAGCGAGGCAUCCGUGAAACAAAGCUGGAGGGCAGAGUGGCAUAGAGAUCGUACCCCGAGCAAAAUAGAAGCCUGGUCAAUGUAAUCAAACUUUACUUCCAUCACCAACAGAGAGACCGCUGUUUGUAAGAAGAAAUCUGGAAAAGUCUGCUUCUUUGAGUUAACAUUCGCUCAGGGGCCUUUAGACAAGGCUCAUGGUGAAGAGGACUGUUUGUAGAACUGUUGGAGAAGCUGGAGACACCAUUCUGUAAUGGGAUGUUGAUGGACUGAUCAACUCAGACCUAGUUAUACAAUCACGAGUUCGCCCCAGCCACUGGAAUAAAAACAAAAUAUUCUAAUAUAUUCUAUAAAAUUCUGGAGGGAAAAGAUUUUCCCAGCCACUGUACAGCCUGUUACAGACAAGCUAAAAGGCAAUGAGAGGUUGAUGCCGAGACCAAUGGUCGUGAUUACUGUUUUGUUGUAAUGAACAAUUUAUAAAUUGAAAGCAAGCGUCGAAGAGCAUUUCACUGUUUGAGGUCUGACUGUUGAAAAAAUGUUUGCGAAUUGAAAAGGAACUGUUAUAUAAGUGUAAGAUCUGGUACAUGAAAGAAAGACAAAUGGAGAUGAUCUGAGUACAGGCCAAUUGUUUUUUAUGUUGAAAGUUUAAUGCGAGAACUAUACCAGAAUUUAUUGCUUAGCUUUAAAACACACACACACACAAACUGACAUGAUGGCAUGUGGAACAUAUCUUACUAGUUGAUUUUCAGAGUAACAUUGUGUUGGUCCUGCAUGUUUAUAUGUAUGUUUACUUUUUUAUUACACCUCUGUAUUUCUUUAACAGGGGGAGUACAUGGCUUCCAACUAGAUGUAGCUGUGGUUUCAUUUACAGGGUGUGUGGACACAAAGUGUUCUCCCUCUAUUAAAGUAAUACAGAGGCAAAAGAGUAUUUGUCAUCUUCUCUCACACUGCCUAGUUUUUUUCAUACAUUAUACAAACUUUAUAACAAAAUGUGCAUAAGAUUUUUCAGAAUUUUAUUUCGAGAUUCUUUUUGGCUUUUGGCUGACAUUUAUUACGAGAAAAGCAGGUAUACAAUCUUAUCCUGUACUAAUAUCCAGAAUAAAUUUCCAGAUUGUAAUUAUGUUGAGCAUUUUAAAAACUUAAGCAAUGCUGUUCAUAUCUACAAAAUGUACAUGACUUCAAUUUAUCUACAUUUUCUUGCACAGAAUAUAUUCACCUGUCCCUACUGUUAAUCAACCUCCCCUUUCACUCAAAAUGCUAUGUCACCAUCACGAUGACAUACAAAACCACACUUAAGACAAUCAGAAUAAGCCAAAGUAGACAAUAUUAAUAUUAAUGGGCUAAGUCAUUCCAAGGCCCCUUGUUUUCGUGAACCAAGGAUGCACCUUUAGAUGUCAACAUGGAGAACAUAAGGUCUAUCCAAGGAUUCAGGGAAUACCUAACACCCAUGAGAUGUGAUUCAACAUUACACAUCUCGUAAAAAGAUUUUUAAAAGGAUUCACCGUCGUAUUACUUACCAUUAUUCCUUAGUAUAUUAUAAAAUAGCUGGCAUUGUUUUUUUCUUAGACUUCUAUCAUCUUUGUUAAUCGCUUUCUGUAUAGAAUUUAUUCUGAGUUGCGUGUUGAUCACACAUUAUCUAAAUCAGAAUCGAAAUAUAAAUUCAUUCGUCUUUUAAUAAUUCCUUCUGUUGUAUUAUAUCUGAAUACAGAUGAUUUUAAAUCAUCAUGGAUGUGUUUGAUUCUGUGAUCUAUUAUCUAUAUAAUAUUUAAAAACAUUGUACAUUUGUAUAUGCAUGGUUAUUUUGGCAUAUACAUACAUGCAUAAAAACCAAACAUGAAUGACCUUCCCCAUCCCACCCCAACACAUAUCUACAGCAUCUCAAGCAAAACGGUUUUCCCUGUCUAUGCUAACUGAAGAUAUAACACUAAUACACGAGCUAAUAGUGACAGACUAGAGACAUAAAACACUUAAUCACUAAGCUUCAGGCUAUAGAAUACAUGGGUAACCAAAACAGCAGUUAUAUUUAAUACAAUAAUAAUUGCAUUUGUAUAGCACCUUUCGCCAGUAUUAACCAGACCCAAAAUAUUGUACAAUCAUGAGAGUUUAUCUGUACCAAGUGCUUCCCCAUAAAAAGAGUGUGGAAAAAGACGAUGUCAGUCUUAUAAAGAAACAAACCGCAAAGAUACAUUACAAUAAAAUACAAGGUGUUAGCAAUAACACACAAACAUCUUUUGGGAAAUUGCUGCUUUCAUUUAGUCAUGUGAUUGGUUAAAUAAAGGUACUAUUUGUAAUAAAACUUUUUAUAUUGUAUUA